This 423-nucleotide ribosomal RNA is filed under the name uncultured bacterium. RNAcentral's name for it is "bacterial SSU rRNA". It matches the Rfam family "Bacterial small subunit ribosomal RNA", at positions 355 to 775 of the family's 1533-position model. The record is from RNAcentral.
CGAGGAAUAUUGGUCAAUGGGCGCAAGCCUGAACCAGCCAUCCCGCGUGAAGGAAGAAUGCGCUACGCGUUGUAAACUUCUUUUCCAGGGGGAGAAUUUUCCUGUCGAGACAGGGAUUGACGGUACCCUGGGAAUAAGCAUCGGCUAACUCCGUGCCAGCAGCCGCGGUAAUACGGAGGAUGCGAGCGUUAUCCGGAUUUAUUGGGUUUAAAGGGUGCGUAGGCGGAUUGAUAAGUCAGUGGUGAAAUUCUGCAGCUUAACUGUAGACUUGCCGUUGAUACUGUUAGUCUUGAGUGUGGUCAAGGCAGGCGGAAUGUGUAAUGUAGCGGUGAAAUGCUUAGAUAUUACACAGAACACCGAUUGCGAAGGCAGCUUGCUGGGUCAUUACUGACGCUGAGGCACGAAAGCGCGGGGAUCAAACAG